Molecule: ribosomal RNA, 257 nt
Filed under: uncultured bacterium
Lineage: Bacteria
Description: partial 16S ribosomal RNA
Rfam family: Bacterial small subunit ribosomal RNA
Source: RNAcentral
AGUGGCGGACGGGUGAGUAAUGUCUGGGAAACUGCCUGAUGAGGGGGAUAACUACUGGAAACGGUAGCUAAUACCGCAUAACGUCGCAAGACCAAAGAGGGGGACCUUCGGGCCUCUUGCCAUCGGAUGUGCCCAGAUGGGAUUAGCUAGUAGGUGGGGUAACGGCUCACCUAGGCGACGAUCCCUAGCUGGUCUGAGAGGAUGACCAGCCACACUGGAACUGAGACACGGUCCAGACUCCUACGGGAGGCAGCAUG